CAUGUAUCGAUGAUCAUAUCAUCUACGAUGAAAAUAUUUUAUUAGAUUUCUAUAGGAUGCUCUGGUAUGAUCACGAUCUCCACAGCGAAAAUAGAAACCUCUUUUAAAGGGCAUCGGUGAUUGAUUUGAGGAAUGGAAGGAAACUGAAGGGAUUCUGACACCAGUAUUCUUAUAGGAUAUUAUUUUAUCCCUGUCUAUAUCUCUCGUCAUCCGGGCA
Molecule: long non-coding RNA, 217 nt
Filed under: Elaeis guineensis (African oil palm)
Lineage: Eukaryota; Viridiplantae; Streptophyta; Magnoliopsida; Arecales; Arecaceae
Description: long non-coding RNA (EGUI_LNC017441)
Source: RNAcentral